GACGAACGCUGGCGGCGCGCCUAACACAUGCAAGUCGAACGGACCUACCCGACGAACCAGCUUGCUGGGGAGAUGGGGACGGUUAGUGGCGGACGGGUGAGUAACACGUGAGCAAUCUGCCUCUCUGAGGGGGAUAACAGUUGGAAACGACUGCUAAUACCGCAUACCUCACAACCAUGGCAUCAUGGAUGUGAGAAAGGAGUUAAAUCCGCAGAGAGAUGAGCUCGCGCCUGAUUAGCUAGUUGGGGAGAUAACAGCCCACCAAGGCAACGGUCAGUAGCCGGACUGAGAGGUUGAACGGCCACAUUGGGACUGAGACACGGCCCAAACUCCUACGGGAGGCAGCAGUGGGGAAUAUUGCACAAUGGGGGAAACCCUGAUGCAGCGACGCCGCGUGAAGGAAGAAGUAUUUCGGUAUGUAAACUUCUAUCAGCAGGGAAGAAAAUGACGGUACCUGACUAAGAAGCCCCGGCUAAUUACGUGCCAGCCGC
RNAcentral lists this ribosomal RNA (491 nucleotides) under uncultured bacterium. Its description in RNAcentral is "bacterial SSU rRNA". It matches the Rfam family "Bacterial small subunit ribosomal RNA", at positions 28 to 515 of the family's 1533-position model. The record is from RNAcentral.